This 429-nucleotide ribosomal RNA is filed under the name uncultured archaeon. RNAcentral's name for it is "bacterial SSU rRNA". It matches the Rfam family "Archaeal small subunit ribosomal RNA", at positions 474 to 903 of the family's 1478-position model. The record is from RNAcentral.
UACCUGCAGCUCGAGUGGUAACCGCUACUAUUGGGCCUAAAGCGUCCGUAGCCGGUUUGGUAAAUAUCUGGGUAAAUCGUGAGGCUUAACUUCACGAAUUUCGGAUAGACUGCCAGACUUGGGAUCGGGGGAGGUCAGAGGUACUCCAGGGGUAGCGGUGAAAUGUUGUAAUCCUUGGAGGACCACCGGUAGCGAAGGCGUCUGACUAGAACGAGUCCGACGGUGAGGGACGAAGCCCUGGGGCGCAAACCGGAUUAGAUACCCGGGUAGUCCAGGGUGUAAACGAUGUGGGCUUUGUAUUGGAGGUCCCACGUGGGCGUCCAGUGCAGAAGAGAAGUUGUUAAGCCCACCGCCUGGGAAGUACGGUCGCAAGGCUGAAACUUAAAGGAAUUGGCGGGGGAGCACAGCAACGGGAGGAGCGUGCGGUUU